CCAUACCACUACCACCCUGAAAGCACGCAAUCUCGUCUGAUCUUAGAAGCUAAGCAAGGUCAGGCCUGGUUAGUACUUGGAUGGGAGAAACAAUCAAUUAUUCACUUUAAGUGGGUGAAUGACAUGGAAUGUG
Molecule: ribosomal RNA, 133 nt
Filed under: Vulpes vulpes (red fox)
Lineage: Eukaryota; Metazoa; Chordata; Mammalia; Carnivora; Canidae
Source: RNAcentral